RNAcentral lists this ribosomal RNA (107 nucleotides) under Periophthalmus magnuspinnatus. The record is from RNAcentral. Lineage: Eukaryota; Metazoa; Chordata; Actinopteri; Gobiiformes; Gobiidae.
GCUUACGUCGAUACCAGCUGGAGAAUGUCCGAUCUCGUCUGAUCUCCAAAGGUAAUCGAGUCUGGGCCUGGUUAGUACUUGGAUUGGAGUAAUGGGUGUUUUCACUG